This 259-nucleotide ribosomal RNA is filed under the name uncultured bacterium. RNAcentral describes it as "partial 16S ribosomal RNA". It matches the Rfam family "Bacterial small subunit ribosomal RNA", at positions 793 to 1055 of the family's 1533-position model. The record is from RNAcentral.
GUCCACGCAGUAAACGAUGAAUACUAGCUGUAUGCGAUAUACUGUAUGUGGCAAAGCGAAAGCGUUAAGUAUUCCACCUGGGGAGUACGUUCGCAAGAAUGAAACUCAAAGGAAUUGACGGGGGCCCGCACAAGCGGAGGAACAUGUGGUUUAAUUCGAUGAUACGCGAGGAACCUUACCCGGGCUUGAAAUGCAUCUGACCGAUCUGGAAACAGGUCUUCUAGCAAUAGCAGAUGUGUAGGUGCUGCAUGGUUGUCGU